RNAcentral lists this ribosomal RNA (446 nucleotides) under uncultured bacterium. Its description in RNAcentral is "partial 16S ribosomal RNA". It matches the Rfam family "Bacterial small subunit ribosomal RNA", at positions 330 to 793 of the family's 1533-position model. The record is from RNAcentral.
GCCAGACUCCUACGGGAGGCAGCAGUGGGGAAUAUUGCACAAUGGGGGAAACCCUGAUGCAGCGACGCCGCGUGAAGGAUGAAGUAUUUCGGUAUGUAAACUUCUAUCAGCAGGGAAGAAAAUGACGGUACCUGACUAAGAAGCCCCGGCUAACUACGUGCCAGCAGCCGCGGUAAUACGUAGGGGGCAAGCGUUAUCCGGAUUUACUGGGUGUAAAGGGAGCGUAGACGGCAUGGCAAGUCUGAUGUGAAAGGCCGGGGCCCAACCCCGGGACUGCAUUGGAAACUGCGAGGCUGGAGUGUCGGAGAGGCAGGCGGAAUUCCUAGUGUAGCGGUGAAAUGCGUAGAUAUUAGGAGGAACACCAGUGGCGAAGGCGGCCUGCUGGACGAUGACUGACGCUGAGGCACGAAAGUGUGGGGAGCAAACAGGAUUAGAUACCCUAGUAC